GUGGGGAAUAUUGGACAAUGGGGGGAACCCUGAUCCAGCCAUGCCGCGUGUGUGAAGAAGGCCUUUUGGUUGUAAAGCACUUUAAGCGAGGAGGAGGCUACCGAGAUUAAUACUCUUGGAUAGUGGACGUUACUCGCAGAAUAAGCACCGGCUAACUCUGUGCCAGCAGCCGCUGUAAUACAGAGGGUGCAAGCGUUAAUCGGAUUUACUGGGCGUAAAGCGCGCGUAGGUGGCCAAUUAAGUCAAAUGUGAAAUCCCCGAGCUUAACUUGGGAAUUGCAUUCGAUACUGGUUGGCUAGAGUAUGGGAGAGGAUGGUAGAAUUCCAGGUGUAGCGGUGAAAUGCGUAGAGAUCUGGAGGAAUACCGAUGGCGAAGGCAGCCAUCUGGCCUAAUACUGACACUGAGGUGCGAAAGCAUGGGGAGCAAACAGGAUUAGAUACCCCAGUAGUCC
RNAcentral lists this ribosomal RNA (451 nucleotides) under uncultured bacterium. Its description in RNAcentral is "partial 16S ribosomal RNA". It matches the Rfam family "Bacterial small subunit ribosomal RNA", at positions 354 to 796 of the family's 1533-position model. The record is from RNAcentral.